RNAcentral lists this ribosomal RNA (497 nucleotides) under uncultured bacterium. RNAcentral's name for it is "partial 16S ribosomal RNA". It matches the Rfam family "Bacterial small subunit ribosomal RNA", at positions 28 to 507 of the family's 1533-position model. The record is from RNAcentral.
GAUGAACGCUGGCGGCGUGCCUAAUACAUGCAAGUCGAGCGAACAGACGAGGAGCUUGCUCCUCUGACGUUAGCGGCGGACGGGUGAGUAACACGUGGAUAACCUACCUAUAAGACUGGGCUAACUUCGGGAAACCGGCGCUAAUACCGGAUAAUAUAUUGAACCGCAUGGUUCAAUAGUGAAAGACGGUUUUGCUGUCACUUAUAGAUGGAUCUGCGCCGCAUUAGCUAGUUGGUAAGGUAACGGCUUACCAAGGCGACGAUGCGUAGCCGACCUGAGAGGGUGAUCGGCCACACUGGAACUGAGACACGGUCCAGACUCCUACGGGAGGCAGCAGUAGGGAAUCUUCCGCAAUGGGCGAAAGCCUGACGGAGCAACGCCGCGUGAGUGAUGAAGGUCUUCGGAUCGUAAAACUCUGUUAUUAGGGAAGAACAAAUGUGUAAGUAACUAUGCACGUCUUGACGGUACCUAAUCAGAAAGCCACGGCUAACUACGUG